RNAcentral lists this long non-coding RNA (37649 nucleotides) under Zea mays. Its description in RNAcentral is "long non-coding RNA (ZMAY_LNC005159)". The record is from RNAcentral. Lineage: Eukaryota; Viridiplantae; Streptophyta; Magnoliopsida; Poales; Poaceae.
UUUCUUUAUUUCCUGGACUGCGUCCCAAAUUUCAGAAAGAUCAGGGGCUAAGCUAUAAAUGUUUUUCUAGACUCAGUGAGCAUACAGAGUGGACGGCGGGUUAAACACAAAAGACGUCUUAGUUGAAGUUGUACACAAUUCAACAUGAGUCAUGUUGGCUAGAGGGUGGAAGGCUAGGUAUUCUGCUCAAUAGAUCCAAGGUUCGAUUCCUAAGUAGCCACUGUUUAAUUUUUUUUUCUGCGCGCGCAACGAGGGAGGGCAGAACGGCAGACUACUAUUGCUUACUUAAUAAGUAGUAGAGAUAUAAAUUUGUAAGUAUCCCCUUAAAUAUUUACUAGGUAGGUGCCCGUGCGUUGCGACGGUAGUAAAAAAAUUUAUAUGAAACAUAGAAACGGAACGACAAACAUCAGUAUGAUAUGCAAAAUUUGUACCUUGGAACAUUAGCAGGGCAGAGGAGCACGUCGGGGCUUCGACCACGGCGUCGUGACGACAAGGGAGAAGAUCACGACGCGAGCGAACUUGACGUGGAGCAGCGUACGAAGGAGAAGCGACACUCGACACAGCUUCAGACGUCAGGCGCACAUGGCUCGACCACGCAACAGUUAGUGAUGAUGACAAACUUGGACGAUUGCAACGGCUUUCCAGCAUCGCGAACAGAGGGUGCACAUGAACAACGAGCUCGGCGAGACUUUCGGCGUCGCGAAUGGAGGGUGUACGUCGAGCUGGCAGCAAGUAACAUGCGAUGCAAAAAGGAGAAGCGAGCAGGGGAUAUGGCUUGGUUGAGGUGGGGGAAGAAGACCGUGAUCUUGCAUUUUAUACAGCAGAGAGAGGCGAGGGCGUCGAGAAAAGAGAUCGCUGCUGCCAUUAAUGGCGUGCAAGAGAAGAAAAAGUCUGAUGAUCGUGGAAACAAAUAUUGGAAAGAUAAAAGGAAUUCACGUACAAGGGAAGUAGAUCUAAAGAGGGGGAGACUUUUUGCAUCAAAUUCAGCAGUAUAAAAAUAAGUAAAAGAAACUAAAAUGCCUACUUGAAACUUGGAACAAUUUAAUGCAAAAACGAUAGCUCAUAUUUUCCAUCUGCUACAUACACUCCUAGAUUGACCUGAAGAGUCAACCUGUCAGAAAUAUAGUAUCAGUAAUUCAUUACCAAGAUGCCAGGAUCACAAUAGUUCUCAAAUAUGCCUUUUUGUGCCGACGUCGAGGAAGUAUCUGCUGCCACCACCAGCCCAGACCCAUUCCCUUUCGAACAGGUGGAUGGCAAGGUGGAUGGGGAGGGCACCAGCCCUGGGUUAGAGAGAAGAAGGCGCAAAGGUGGAGGGCGUGCGUGGAGCGGCCGUCCUCCUGGAGUGGCUGAGCGCGGAACAUGACGCUGACGUACGAUGGCGCCAUGGCUGCUAGUUGGCACCACCAGAUCUUCCACCUUAGGCUUGGCCCUGGCGUUGUCGAUUGAGCCCUCGAUGUGGCCGUGCAGGCGGAGGCGCUUCAUGCCGAAAUCCGCCCAUGGACCAGGGUGCCUCACACGCUUACUCAAGGAGUGGGUCGGUGACGAAAGCCGGCGCGUGGGGACGGGUGUGGAGGCGGGCAUAGAUGGGAGGUGGUCGUCGACUGCUGCGAGUAUUUGGGGCGAGGAUGGCUCUCGGCUUGCACCGCGCGUGGUGACGGCGUUGAAGGCGGCCUGGGGAAGGGCGCUAAUGGCUCGGCCUGCGUCGCGUGUGGGGACGGGUGUGGAGGCAGGCGUAGAUGGGAGGCGCGGCGUCGACUGCGGCGAGGAUUCGGGGCGAGGAUGGCUCCAUCAGCGUUGAAGCCGGCUGGGGAAGGGCGUUGAUGGCUCCGCUGCGCCGCGCGUGGGGACAGGUGUGGAGGCGGGGGCUCGGGCGCAGUCGGUGGUGCCGCGCGAUGGCGGCGGACUGGCGAGGGCGGGGACAUGGUGACGUCGGGUGGACGCCCUCGUUGCAUACAUAUGGUGCAGUAGAGAUAACAGACCAAGAGUCAUGCAAAUAUGUUUGCACCUAAUGACUAUUUGCAUAAUAGUCGUUGUCCAAAUAAUAUUAAACAUAAAGAUUCAAAGUAAACUAAUAGGCAACAAUGCCUACAUCUUAUUCUUACAUGCAGGUCUACCAAAAAAUCAUUGGAACAGUUCCUAGUGGUUUCAUAACAUCCUAAAAUAAAAUAAGUUGGCUAACUGAUAGUAGCUCACAACAUAUAAUCAGUAAAAGGGGGCAUCUGUUAGGGUGGGUAUCAAUGUUGGAACAUACUGGACUUGCAAACUGCAAGGGUUAACAAUCCCAAUAGCAGACAUUGAAUAUGAUUUUUCUGAUAAAAGCAGGCAGGUCAGCUAUUGCAAAGAACAUUCAAAGAUGACAAACCAUACUAUAAUUGAGUGCACUGCAGGUAUAGGUUCUCUAUUUUCAUUACAACUGAUCUAGAGAACAAAAAGGAAUCGACAAAACCAAUAGCACAUAUCAACAAUACCAACUGCAUCAUUCUUACAAAUAGAAAGAUCAUGAGGCCUACAGGAAACAACUAUAUAUUUUCCACUUACUGAUUUAUAUAACCCACGGUAAGAAAUAUAUCCAAAUGAACAGACCAUAUGCAAACAUCCUACAUUCCUACCAUACAUGGCAUCAUGCAUAAAUCAUGCGGUAAUGCAUAUAACAUACAAAUAUUGCAGAACUCAUUGACAAGAAUCAGGUCAGUAUAAACUCAGCACUUUUGUCAUCAGCAGACAAAAUAGCACAAUAAAAAAUGCACAUCUAGAGAGCAGAGCGUUACUGAUCUGCAGUCAAAAACUCAAACACAAGAUUUUGCUAUUAUGAAGUUGUGUCAGGAACUGAAAUAAUAGUAAUUUGAAUUAUAUUUUCUGUUUAUUAUCAACAAGAUCAAUACAAUUGAAUAAUAGAUAAGGUGGUAGCUGUUGCACAUGAUUAUUAGCAAGUGAAGUACAAGGUAGUGAGCAUAAUGUCCCACUGUUUAUGAACAGCUAAUUCCCAAAUCAAAUGAGCUUCAACCACUCAAAGAACACCCCAAGUUGUCAACUAUGUCAUUCUUCUUCAUUUAUAUUGUUUGUAACCCAAAGAAGAAAAUAGAUCAUUCAUGGCUCCAUCAAGUAGAAAGAUAAUGACAUAUAAUGGGAGAGAACAAUAUAUUAUACAGUUAUCACUUCAUAUGUUCCACAGAGAAUAGAAUAAAUGUACCCAAAUAAACAGGCCAUUUGCAAGCAUUGUAAUGUGAAUGUAUACCAUGCAAUAAACAUAUUUACUGUAUACAAAGGAAAACAAAACUUUCUUAUUGACAACAAAUAGAAGUACCGAAAUUACAGAUAUCUAUAGUACUAAAGUAGUGGAGAGUAGUGCUCCAGUGUCAAAAGCAUAAUAGACCGAACCAACCAAAUAAAAAUCAAGCUGGUAGAUCCUUGCCCGGUUACAGACCAGCAGCGGGCAGCGCAGCCAAGAAGGCACUGUAUGCCGAAUCGAGGUCGAAGUUGAGCUGCCUGGCCUGCUGCUCGGUGAGCUCAUCUGCGACCCUGGGUUAGACCAUGGAAGUCUGACCAGCCCAGACCCAUUCCCUUUCGAACAGGUGGAUGGCAAGGUGGAUGGGGAGGGCACCAGCCCUGGGUUAGAGAGAAGAAGGCGCAACGGUGGAGGGCGUGCGUGGAGCGGUCGUCCUCCUGGAGUGGCUGAGCGCGGAACAUGACGCUAGCGUACGAUGGCACCAUAGCUGCUAGUUGGCACCACCAGAUCUUCCACCUUAGGCUUGGCCCUGGCGUCGUCGAUUGAGCCCUCGAUGUGGCCAUGCAGGCGGAGGCGCUUCACGCCGAAAUCCGCCCGUAGGAGCUUCACCCACAGUCACUCGCGGCUAGCUGCUGCACAAGAAACAUCAUGUACUACAAUCAGGCAAGGUAUCACUAUAUCACUGCCAUACUUACAAGGUUCGACUAUUCAACUGGGCCAUGUACUUAAAUUACUACCUAGCUACUCCUAACAAAGAGGGAUGAUGUACGAGCAUUUCUAUAACCCCAAAUUAAUAGGAUUGGGAAAAAAUGGACAUAUAUGUUGCCUGCCUAAUGAUUUGUAAAUUAAAACAAUGAGAAUGUGAAGAUAUAAACAUGUUAAUCGCUUAAAAUCUGUUUAUAAAACAGAUCAUAAGCUACACAUUGAAUAGAAUUAGCAGCAAAGCACAAUACUGAAACAAGGACAAGUGCAUGCUGAACUCUCUGAACUUACUGGGAAGUUCAGUUUGCAGUCUGAUUCCCUGUACUUGAGCGCUGCAAGAUCAUAGGUGUGGGCUGCUGCCUCCUCAGUCCUCACCAUCAAAAGCUCCUGAAAAGAAAGAAGAUUACAACCUAUUCGCUUGACUUUAAUAUGUACUGGCUUCUACUACAGUGUUUUUGUCUCAAACAACUGGCUUUAAUCCGAAGCGAACAACACAAAGGAUUUUAACUCAAAUAUUCGUAUGUCCUUGCAUUUGUAAAGGUAAUACCAUCUAUGCAACUGUCUGUUUGUUUUGUGCAAAUAAAGCUUCUUUGGAAUAUGACACCUGUAAGUUGAGGCUCUCAUUAGAAAAUAGGCAAUCUUCAUAAUCACCUAUGGUAAUAUGCGACAUCAAAUCUGGUGGCCAAACCUCAAUCGUGAAAACUGCUGGUUCAAUAGAUCCUGGUAUGGUUUCUUGAUGGAUGGAUGGAUUGUCCAACACAUACAACUGUUGUUUAACAGUUUUGGAUUUGUGACAUGGCUGACAGUUCUUCAGUUUCACAGCUGCAAGAUUGGUUGAUUAUGUAGAGGCUCUUGUAAGGCGAAGAGAAACUGAUUAUAAUGUAUGAUCACGUGGCAAAUUCAAUGAUUCACGCAAAUUAGGCUAAAAUAAAUUACAUUAGAAUCAAGGUAUGCCAAUUCAAGAGUAGUAUGGGUAAAGCACUGGUGACGCAAAGAUGCUAAUAAAUAUACUGAAACCAGGCAGUCAAGUACGAUACAAGCAGUCAAAACUUCAAGUGAUUCACAAAAUUAUCUUCACAAAUUGAUAGAGUUCUCUUUCAUGUCCGUGGAACCAGGGCAGACCCAACUAAGCUCUGCACGAGAAAAAAAACUAUUGGCUUUAUUCACCUUUAUCUAGUCCUUUCAUUCACCUCUUUCUAGUAACAUGUUCGAUCCUUUAGAACUGUUGAAGAUACAUUGGGUUACACCUACAAACUGAACCCAAAUGAAUGUUACACUAAGGCCAGAUUUUAAAUAUAUCCUUUUAUUUCUUGUAUGAAGUAAACAAUACAUACCUUAUCGACUCUUAUGAGAGUUGUCAACAAGAGAGCAUCUGCUCUGUAAGUUGAUUGCUGCAUAAAAAGAGCUACCUACUUAGAAUUCCAUCACAGUUGUCCAGAGCCUCAUAAAGGUUUGUGACAGUCUAAAAAUUUCAGAAUAAAAUAGAAGAACUGGUCAAAAACCGUAGAUUGUUGUUCUAAAUCGUCGGUCGCUGCCACCACCAUUACACCAUUAGCAAGCAGGUGGAUAGGAAGGAGUUGUGUUUACCUUUAGGACCUGCUGUCGGGUCUUGUCUGUUUUUGGGAGGCGAGGGCUAAAGGGAGCAGGAAGACGCCCAACAGAGGAGGGAAGCGGGGAUGAGGAAUAGAAGAAGAAAUAGAGGUAGUAGAUACACCAGGCAAGCCAAGGGAAUGAAGGAAGAAAGGCUAGGCCAGGAGGUGGCGCGUGCGGUUAAGCAAAAAGGAGGCCUCUGGUGGCCAGCCAGCCCGCUCCCUCUCAAGAUUCGAUGCAUGCUAAUUAAAUAUCUCCUUCAGUCUUCAGAACACGAAAUCAUCAUAUCAGCAAGAGAACAAGGUGGUAUCAUAAUAAACUGAAAACAAACACCACAAAAGGACUAACUAAAACCUCACUUGAUCCUGGCCUUCAGGAAGGGGAUCAACCACCAGGGUGGGUAUCUCAUCGUCAAUCCAUCAUGCUUUCCCGAGUGAAGCGUCAUCAUCAAUCCAUUAGUACAAGGAUCGCUAAUUUGCCUCUCCGUGACAUUACUAUCAGUUGUCACAUGGUCUGAGUUCACACUCCAGUGAGCUAGAAUAGGUUCUGGUAAUGCUGAGCAUGUUUUAGAUGUAGGUCUACCAUUCUGACUGAUUUCAUUUUCAUGAGUAGCAACUUGAUUUAUCUCAGUUGUUUUCCUUUCUGAAAUAAACCUAAAUAUAUCAGUGAGAACAUAAUAGCCACCACUUUCUUAUGGUGCUAGGAAGAAUGAACAGGUAAACCUACAGAAAACGCUUUCAUCCAAAGUCAAGGAUCUAGUAACAAUAAUGAGCACUCCAUCAUUGUGAGAUAAUUGUGCAUUUGCAGUCUCUAUAACUAUUAAGCAGUUCCUGGAGUCCAUAGACAUGAUUUUUUCAUUAAUAUCCUAUACAGAAAAAGGUGGUUCCAAGAGUUAUCUCAACUUCAGAUAACACGUCUAACAAACUCUACAGACUGAAGAUUUUACCUAUCGUUUUCUUUAAAUAAAAUAAAUAAAUUUUAUUUAAACGAACGAAGGAAAGGCACAUUCAGUUUACCAAUCAGUGAUUAGAGUUGUUCCCUGGAUUAGCAAGAAAGAGAAAACUUGCACAAUUUAACCACAAACACACAGUACUAUGUUAGAUCAGUACCCCUGUUAAAGAAUUUUAUCCUACCACAUGUUCACUUCCAGUUUUCUUACAUAUGUAUGUUUUCAGUGUUCAUAAAGAAUUUGAACCGAGUAUAUGAUUCAACACACUACUUCAAAGCAUGAUUAACCAAUACAGAACAAGUUUGGAUUACAGAACAAUUUCUCCAACUCACCGUCGUCGAAGCGAUUGAAGAGAACGGUGAUCGUCACAAGCAGCGAACAAGGCACGAUGCGCCGAUGAUGAUGGUGGAUGGGGUGUCGGCUUGGAGGGGAACUUUAAAAAGAGCUGCUCUACAAACUGAAAAAGAACAAGAACAAUUAUUAAAUACAAAAAGAGCUAUUAUAUAAAUAACAAUGCAUCAUAUGAAGCAACCACAUUGUGACUAAACAAAAGUAUUUGUUCAUUUCUGAAUUCCAAAUCAGAGUAUUCAAGUUAAAUCAGACUACCACAUGCCUACGACUGGUAUAUUACUACACUCACGAAUCCAAUUUGGUUAGACAACUGAGAUUCACAACUAAAAAAACACAGACAUCCAAAGGUAUUCAUAUCAAAUAGAUUUCAAGGAAAACUAAAUAAAUAUUACCAAAACUCCAUUGCCAUAGCCUUACCAAAACUCUUUAGACCAUUUAAUAAUAUGAUAUAUUAGUCACACUCUCACAUGGAUUUUAUUCACGUGCUCCAUAAACAGGUAUAUAUAUUGAUUAUAGGACUAUCUGAACUCAAAACAAAUGUGAAAAACUUAGCUCAGAACAGAUGAAAAACACCACCAUUCAACACACAAAAGGGAAAAGUGUUGAACAUAAUAACCCUUUACAAGAUCAUCAGGUGCAGUGUGAACAACAACAGCUCUACCAAUGAUUGAGUUUGGCCCAGUCAGUGGGGUCUAAAAAAUCAUUAGCGGUGUUAUUACCUGGAUGUCAGUGAAUUAAUAUUAGCAACACCUGACAGCAAAGAAACAAACUCAGUGACAAGAUAGUACAUGUUGAAGUACCUCUGUAAUCCAUUUCACCUGUUUGAAUCAUAUGCAAAAUCAAAUGAUGCCAUUUUACUCAUCUAUUUGAAUUUUUUUAACAGGGAAUUAUACUGUUGGAAUUAAAGCAAAUUUAAACCCCAAACUUGAACGGAGCAUCUGCUUUUUGAACAUAUGAACGAACACACUACUUGAAAGAAUGAUCAAACCAGAAUUGUAAGAAAAAAAUAAAUCCUAUUACAGACCGAGUAUGGAUUACAAAGGUCUAAAGAAUGAACAUAGACAUUAUGAAAACGGAUGUUCCGUAUACACUAUGAAAAACUGCAGUGAACAUAGACAUUAUGAAAAACUGGUACUCUGAAGCUGCAGCGAACCAAACCUUGUCAACUAAAAGCAUAUGUUCUGUAUACACUCCAGAUUAGAUGUUUGAACACAGUACUUCAAUCAAAACAGAUGUCACUAUCACUGCUCGUGCUGCUAAUUCAUUGCAUGAUGAAUCUUUGAAGCUUUUCUUAUUUGACAAUCUUUUCUGAAAUAAUCAUUACUUCAGGUCCAGUUGUUUUUUCGAGCUUCUACUGCUGCUUGAAGUUUUUAACAUGAUUUUUCCUAGAAGAUUCUGUCAUCAAUAGCCAUUUGUUUGUUGGGAAAGAGAGGCAUAAUAAUUAUUUUACCUCUUUAUACAAAAAUGCACAUGUCAUAUCCUGUUUGGUGUGUGAGAUAAUGAAAAAGAACUAAUUCAUAGUAAUCUGUAAGCUUGAUUGCGAACAAAAAUAAUAUGGUUGAAUGUGAACAUACAAGAAUAAUUUACACAUUUCUGUAUUUUGCCAGAUUUCAGAUGUACUUAGUGAGGCUGGUGCACCAUGUGGGAUAAAAUCAGUCUGUCUUUAUGGUGGAACUAAAAAGGAACCCCAAAUAUCUGCCCUUAAAUCUGGAGUGGUAAGAUAACUGAUUUCAUUUUUCUUUUCCCACCCACAGUUCAUAUAAUUGUACUGAAUAUUGAAUAUUGAUUAAGUUAUGAACUUUUGAUAUCGUUGCAUACCAAACCAUUACCAUACCACUUCUUUUUUCACGGAUUUCACUUAAUGGAAACUCAAUGUUUCUUUACUAUAUAGGACAUGUAAUGUAACUGUGUCCCCAGUCAGUCUUUGACAGUUAAUUUGUGUAAAAACAUACUGUUGGCUGACCCUGUAUUCAUUUUUUGGGGUUUGUGGUUGCAGGAUAUAGUCAUAGGAACUCCUGGUCGUAUGAAAGACCUUAUUGAAAUGGGUGUUUGCUGUCUUAAUGAGGUUUCGUUUGUGGUAAGCCAGUUGUGCCUUUUUUUUUGCUAUUCUUGUUGUCUAUGAAGUGUGGUGUGCAUGGUAUAUAUAUUCUAUCCAGCCACAAAUAUGAAGUGCUCUGAACAGCAACAGGGUCACCAAGUUCUAACUUUGAUCUCUAAUUCACCAGCCCUUCGUUCUUUUUUAUUUGAUAUUCUAAUUUUGAGCAAGUCAGACCUUUUCUGUUUGGCAUGAUAUGCUAAACCUACAUAUAUUGUCUGUAUGAAAGGUACACCACUUGUUUUGUAGUUAAAAGUAGUUCAGUAGUUUAGGGUGUGUUUGGUUCUGUUGUCUCAUGUGAGAAAAAUUGCUUUCUGCUCUGAAAAAACUGCUUUCUGCUGUGAAAAAAAGAGAAAUAAGGGUUCGACACCCCUUAAAUGAUGGAAGAUGGGUAAUUUCUUUGAACUUGGUUCGCUGGCAUCAAUCACAUCAAAUAUUUCUUGGGAUUACUGCUGUGCUUACACUUUCAUGGUUAUGCUUUAAUGAGUAAUUAUUGUGUUCCCUUUUGUUGACGUACUUAUAUGGUGUGAUAUAUAUUCUUACUUUUUUUUGCAUAGGUUCUAGAUGAAGCAGAUAAGAUGCUGGAUUUGGGUUUCGAACCUGAAGUCAGGGCAAUUUUGAGCCAAACAUCAUCUGGAUGGGAUAACGUUUGGCAGCUCCACCUAUCGAUGCUACCAAAGAAAAGGGGACUCUUUGCCAGGUCGUCUUCGUUCCAAGGACACCAGCAGAGACGCGCUCCAGAUCUCGCCCGUACGUCCAUGAACCUGGCGGGCGAGUGAAGCGAAGGCCGGCGUACGGGUCCGGCAGCAGAUGGGGGAGGGAAGGGGAGGUAGACAAGGUGGUGGUGGUGCUUGGAUCGGUCGGUACCUGGGAGGCGCGGACGCUAUCCUCUCGGGAGCCGGUGAAUCUGUGGGAGAAGACGACGGCGAACCUGGCUUGGUCCCGGGGCACGCCGCUCUUGCAGUAGGCGAGGUGGCGGCCGUCGCGGAGCCUGAGCCUGGGCGCUGUUGAAGUCGUGCGUGCGCUGAAUCAGGCGAGGUUGAAGUCGUGUGCAUAAAUGGCGGAGCUGGCGAAGCGGUUGAGGCCAUGGUCGUGGGGGAGGAGGUCGAGGUCGUGGGCAUCCUGUAGCGCGCCGUCGCUGGAGUGGAGGCAGCAGGCGCCAUAGCUUGGGGUGUAGAAGGCAGGCGUCGUAGGAUGGGCUGCAGAAUGGGCCGCACCACCGUUGGGCCGCAUACACCGCUCGAACACAGGCACUGCUAUGGUGUUAUUUGAUUAGUGCCAUACCGGCCAUCCAGAGCGUCGAAACGUGACUUAUAAGCGUUGGUGUGUGUUGUUUGUUACUUAGACGCGUUGGUGUGUGCUAUUUGUUGCUCAGACUAACGUCUCUGGUGCCGUAGUAAGAUGAUUUUUUGGCGCGGGGCUGUACGACCGGAGGCAGAACGGGCCAGAGGCAGAACGGAUCGGAGGCAGACUACUAUUGCUUACUUAAUAAGUAGUAGAGAUAAAACGGUAUGUAGUAUAAUUAAUAUGCCCAGAGGACUUUCUACCGCGUCUUCCAAUUCUCCAUACCAGGACCCAGCAGGCCCUCUCUUGUGUGUUGGCGCAGUAGACGAUGCAGACUUGCAGUAAUAAGCAUUCAUGCUUUUAUUUUAUUUUAUUUUUCCUUUGCUACAGGCUAGAGCGUCAAAGUACAACGGUCUGCGAGCACUAUAUAUAUUGUUAAGUAACCCUUGUUAGGGUUAUAUGGACAAAUACCUGCUUUGCCCAUGAGGGGUCUCACAUCUCUAUAUAAGGAACAUGUACACCCCUUCAUAUGAUAGAGAUAAGAAAUAGGCCAGAGGCCCAACCCUAUAUCCAGUGUCUCGUGUGUUUCCUCUGUCGUGCUUAUGUGAAGGGAGACAGGUUCUCUACAUCUUCUUGCGCCUCUACCGCUGACGGGAGGGAAGGGAGCAGAUCUGGUGAUCCGUGGUAACGUAGUUCUCAACACGUUAUCAGCACGCUCUACCUCGACGUUGCUAUGGAUUCGAUCUGCACCGAAUCUCCAUCAAGCCGGCAGGUCACCCGGCCUUGCCGAACUAUCCUACGCGAUAGCCUUCGAUUGCCUUUCUACGCAGUCACACGGUAUGUCUUUCUAAGUAGAUUGGAUGUACUGUUUAUGGGUGAUCAUCCGGUCGAACAAGUACUGCACGCUCGUGCCCAUGCAUAGACUUUUAUACCCGGUCAAAGCGGUUUUCAGUUGAUGUGCCUAAAAUGCUAAAUUUAGACUUUUAGGGCCCCUUUGGUAGGGCUUAUUUUUCAGCUUCGGCUCUGGCUCAUGCAAAAGUUGUGUCAAACACCUCUUUUUCAAAUGGCUUCACCAGUGAAGUGCUUUUCCAAAAUGAACUAGAGGGCAUGAGCCAAAAAAAGUGGCUCACCCGGCUUCAGCUCACGUCAUUUUUGCACAAUAGCCCUCCCACCAGUCAAAAUUAUUUUUUUUGGUCCUGCCCUCAAUCCCUAGCCACGUACAUGAGAGAUCUAUAAAAAGUAAAGUAUACAAGGGUCUUUCUGAAAAACAACCUAUAAGUCGUUUUGCCAAAUGAUUUUUCAGAAUGGCUUUGGCUCAUCUAAAGAAGUGGCUUCACCUCGUGAAUCAGAGCCAAAGCCGUUUUUGGAGAAGCCAGAGCCCUGCCAAAGGGGCCCUUAUACCGCUUGCUUGCAUGUCGGUAGUCGUGGACGCAUGACAGCUCGGUGGCGCAAGCGAAUCUCGCAGUUGAGUCGGCAGCUUCUCCAACUAUUCUUGCGUAGCCCCCGCAUGGCCGCAUGCAUGGGCACCACGAUGGCCAACAAGCUGGGUCCUUGAUUGCCUCCCUUAUCCAAAUUCAAAAUAUCAUUGCUUGGUGGUUGUAGUUGUCCAUGAAUGUCGGCUGAUUUUUUUUAGAAAAAGUUGCCCAAUCAAAGUGGCAGGUGUGCACUUGUGGUGACAACCCUAAAAAAUGUAGUAUUGAUGCCACUACAUUAAUCUAAGUCCAAUGCUCACUGCAUAAAACCCAUAUCUGUAAUGUGCGUAAGAUUUCCCAAAUAAAUCACCACAAUAGCAUACAUUGGCCACAACUGGAUGAUUGUGGUUGGGGAUUUUAUCUGUAUGCUUUUAGAACAUCUCGACAUUAGGGGGAGGAAUGCCCAUAUAGUGUAAUGCCUCAAUAUUCUAUUAAACGCACAAAAGCCAAACUGAACCUGUCGUUCAGUGUGUACUCCUGUGUAUAUGGAGUUUGCCAGAAAUCGUUGAGGAGUAGCCAUAUUGGUUUGAAUGCUUCUACUUGAUGUAAAUGUGGAUAUACCCGGGAUUAAUAUCAUAUCCACAUUUGACAUAUUGGCAUUUGAUCCAUUCUCGGGGACGCCUGCGAAUAUGAUCCAUCGGCCUUAGUCAAAGCAUAUGUUCUGAUUGCAGAUUCACGUGGUCUGUGAUAACUUUCAUCCGAUUAAUUCACCCUGAUGGUGAUUUACCUCACGAAGAGGUUCAUCUUGAUGAUGAAAUUCCUAGCAAUGCGCGCAAUAUCAUUGUGCUGGGAAUACGGAACAAUGAAUCUUUCGUUUUGAGAAAUAACGGAUAUCAUUAUUAAAUGUGGGAGACAAAUAUGUCGACACCUAUAUUGCCUCUCUAGAUUGCAAAUGGAUCCAAAACAAAGUCCUAGGCAUGAGUGCUUUAAGCUCUCUUAUCGGGUCAUUGAUAAAUGCAAUCGAGGCUGAACCAAUAAUCGCAAAAUGAAAGUCACGAGCUUGAAGUUCGGACAUUUAUGGGCACUAUUGAGAUAAUGUGUGGUGAAUGCGAUGGUUCAAGUGGUCUUGUGAGAGACCCAUCCCACGUAUGUGUUGAAUAAACAUUGUUCCGCUAUGUAAUAUAUCUGGCAAAUGGCAUGAAUUAAAUUAUGCAGUUAAUAGGAUUCUGAAGAUCCGUCAUGAGAUCCUAGGAGGAUCCAUAUCUUUGAAUUAUAAAUAUGCAACAUAUAAAUCUCAUACCGAAUAAUACAUUCCUGACGAAUUAACACUCUUCUAUGUAGAGAGAAUAUCUCCUAGAUGAGAUUAUAGUUCCUUGAUGGAACUUUUCCAGAAGAAAUAAAGUCUGUGUUGAACACCAAAGUUUGAUAAUCCCUAUAAAGGGAUAAAGACCCAUACAGACCCGAAAAGGAAUAAGAUGAGGUACCAAAGGACUUGAAGUUCACCGAAUAAGCACAUGUGCAUUCCACGAGUUUUACUCAUGGUAUUUUCCACUUGAUGUGGAAUUACGGUAUCCUCUAAAGCCUUGAUGGCAGAAACCUAUAAGGUUUAGGUGUUACUGGCAAAAAUAUCCCCAUCAUGCCAGAAUGACAGACUAUAACGAUGUAUCUGAUCGAUGAAAAAUCCCUGAUGGAUUACGAUCUUUGAUGGACUUUUGUUACACCAUCAUAGAUGUUGCAAUGGAUGAACGCCUGGAGCGAUGUGUCAUAUUUAGAAUAUGUACUAUUGCAACUAUAUUAUCCCCUAAGUCCCAUAUAAGGACACGUUACUUGCUUUGCACAACUAUGUAUAAAUUAUGGUGUAAGAUAGAAAAUGAUAGCACCCCAACCUCAUCCAUUCUCGUUAUUCCAGAUGAACAAUGAGAUAUAUAUCUUGAAGAAUAUGCUUGAUUUAUGAGGGAUAACGACUUUGACAGAUGUCAUCGUCAGGGGGAGCGAAUGCUUAUAUUGAUCACAAUCGUGAGACAAUAAAUGUUAUAUUCUAUGCCCUGAAGGCGUGAGCUUGAUGAUCAAUAUGUGAACAUUUAUGGAACUUUCUAUCAAAUAUAUAGAUCCAGUCGAUCGAACCCAUCAGUCAAAGUGACUUAUUUAUAUUGAAACGUGCACUUACCUCGUAUAUCCUAGAAGUGAGUAGAGGUAAAGUUCCUGAAAUAGUCCUGGCAAGGAUAUGCAAUCCGUUUGCUGAAUCUUUAUGUGCAUAUACUUCCAGAAUAAUAUGUUUUGCUUAUUGAUACGGUUUUGCAAGGAUUAUGGGGAGCACAUUUCUAAAGUUAGCCCUUGUAGAAGAUUCGAUAGAAUCUAGAUCCCAGCGGAUCGAAAUCUGUCACGAUGACAGUUGUUGUACUCUUUUUUCCUUGGUGAGUUUUCUUGAAGUUUCUCACAUGAGGUUUUGAUAGUCGCCUAGAGGGGGGGUGAAUAGGGCGAAACUGAAAUUUACAAAUAUAAACACAACUACAAGCCGAGUUAGCGUUAGAAAUAAAAUCGAGUCCGCGAGAGAGGGCGCAAAAACAAAUCGCAAGCAAAUAAAGAGUGUGACACGCGGAUUUGUUUUACCGAGGUUCGGUUCUUGCAAACCUACUCCUCGUUGAGGAGGCCACAAAGGCCGGGUCUCUUUCAACCCUUCCCUCUCUCAAACGGUCCCUCGGACCGAGUGAGCUUCUCUUCUCAAAUCACUGGGAAUCAAACUUCCCGCAAGGGUCACCACACUCUUGGUGCCUCUUGCCUCAAUUACAAGUGAGUGUUUGAUCACAAGAAAGAAUGCGAAAGAAAAGAAGCGAUCCAAGCGCAAGAGCUCAAAUGAACACUACAAAUCACUCUCUCUAGUCACUUAGGCUUUGUAUGGAGUUGGGAGAGGAUUUGAUCUCUUUUGGUGUGCUUUGCAAUGAAUGCUAGCUCUUGUAUAGUGGUUGGAAGCUGGAAAACUUGGAUGCUUUGAAUGUGGGGGUGGUUGGGGUAUUUAUAGCCCUAACCACCAAACUAGCCGUUUGGUGGGGCUGUCUGUUCGAUGGUGCACCGGACAGUCCGGUGCGCCAGCCACGUCACCAAAGCCGUUGGAUUCUGACCGUUGGAGCUUCUGACUUCUGGGCCCGCCUGGAUGUCCGGUGCACAUCGGACAUGUACUGUUCAUUGUCCGGUGUGCCAGUAUGGGCGUUCCUGACAUCUGCGCGCCUCUGGCGCGCAUUGAAUGCGCCUGCAGGUAGCCGUUGGCGCCGAGAUAGCCGUUGCUCCAUGGUUCACCGGACAGUCCGGUGAAUUAUAGCGAAGCGGCCGAAGUGAAUUCCCGAGGCUGGCGAGUUCCGGAGGCGGCUCUUCCUUGGCGCACCGGACACUGUCCGGUGUACACCGGACAGUCCGGUGAAUUUUAGCGGAGUGCCUCUGGAAUUUCCCGAAGGUGGCGAGUUCGAGUUGAAGUCCUCUGGUGCACCGGACACUGUCCGGUGGUGCACCGGACACUGUCCGGUGUACGCCGGACAGUCCGGUGCCCCCAGACCAGAGGUGCCUUCGGUUGCCCUUUUGCUCCUUUGUUGAAUCCAAUACUUUAUCUUUUUAUUGGCUAAGUGUGAACCUUUAGCACCUGUAUAGCUUAUACACUAGAGCAAACUAGUUAGUCCAAUUAUUUGUGUUGGGCAAUUCAACCACCAAAAUUAUUUAGGAACUAGGUGUAAGCCUAAUUCCCUUUCAAUCUCCCCCUUUUUGGUGAUUGAUGCCAACACAAACCAAAGCAAAUAUAGAAGUGCAUAAUUGAACUAGUUUGCAUAAUGUAAGUGCAAAGGUUGCUUGGAAUUGAGCCAAUAUAAAUACUUACAAGAUAUGCAUGGAUCGUUCCUUUCAUUUUUAACAUUUUGGACCACGCUUGCACCACAUGUUUUGUUUUUGCAAACUCUUUUGUAAAUUCUUUUCAAAGUUCUUUUGCAAAUAGUCAACGGUAAAUGAAUAAGAUUUUGCAAAGCAUUUUCAAGAUUUGAAAUUUUCUCCCCCUGACUCCCUCUAAAAGAGAUCCACCUCUUAGUGUUCAAGAGGGUUUUGAUAUAUAAUUUUUGAAAUACUACUUUCUCCCCCUUUUGAACACAAUAGGAUACCAAUUGAUAAAAAUCUUGGAAACACGAAGUUUUUUGAAAUUGGUGGUGGUGCGGUCCUUUUGCUUUGGGCUCAUAUUUUCUCCCCCUUUGGCAUGAAUCGCCAAAAACGGAAUCAUUAGAGCCCUCAAAACACUUUCUUCUCCUUUGGUCAUAAAUAAAUGAGUUAAGAUUAUACCAAAGGCGAAGUCCUUUUGCUCGGCGAAGGAUGAGUUACGGAGUGGAAGCCUUUGUCUUCGCCGAAGAAUCCAAUUCCCUUUCAAUACACCUAUGACUUGGUUUGGAAUAGACUUGAAAACACAUUAGUCAUAGCACAUGAAGGAGACAUGAUCAAAGGUAUAUAAAUGAGCUAUGUGUGCAAUCUAGCAAAAGAAAUUGCGUGAAUCAAGAAUAUUGAGCUCAUGCCUAAGUUUGGUAAAAGAUUGUUCAUCUAGUGGCUUGGUAAAGAUAUCGGCUAAUUGAUCUUUAGUGUUAAUGUAAGAAAUCUCGAUAUCUCCCUUUUGUUGGUGAUCCCUAAGAAAAUGAUACCGAAUGGCUAUGUGUUUAGUGCGGCUAUGCUCGACAGGAUUGUCGGCCAUUUUGAUUGCACUCUCAUUAUCACAUAGCAAAGGGACUUUGGUUAGUUUGUAACCGUAGUCCCGCAGGGUUUGCCUCAUCCAAAGUAGUUGCGCGCAACAAUGGCCUGCGGCAAUGUACUCGGCUUCGGCGGUGGAAAGAGCGACCGAAUUUUGCUUCUUUGAAGCCCAAGACACCAAGGAUCUUCCCAAGAACUGGCAAGUCCCCGAUGUGCUCUUCCUAUUAAUCUUACACCCCGCCCAAUCGGCAUCCGAAUAACCAAUCAAAUCAAAUGUGGAUCCCCGAGGGUACCAAAGCCCAAACUUAGGAGUAUAAGCCAAAUAUCUCAAGAUUCGUUUUACGGCCGUAAGGUGGGAUUCCUUAGGGUCGGAUUGGAAUCUUGCACACAUGCAAACGGAAAGCAUAAUAUCCGGUCGAGAUGCACAUAAAUAUAGCAAAGAACCUAUCAUCGACCGGUAUACCUUUUGAUCCACGGACUUACCUCCCGUGUCGAGGUCGAGAUGCCCAUUAGUUCCCAUGGGUGUCUUGAUGGGUUUAGCAUCCUUCAUCCCAAACUUAGCAAGAAUGUCUUGAGUGUACUUGGUUUGGCUAAUGAAGGUGCCCUCUUGGAGUUGCUUUACUUGAAAUCCUAAGAAGUACUUCAACUCUCCCAUCAUUGACAUCUCGAACUUUUGUGUCAUGAUCCUACUAAACUCUUCACAUGUAGAUUCGUUAGUAGACCCAAAUAUAAUAUCAUCAACAUAAAUUUGGCACACAAACAGAUCAUUUUCAAGUGUUUUGGUAAAGAGCGUAGGAUCGGCCUUUCCGACUUUGAAGCCAUUAGAAAUAAGGAAAUCUCUAAGGCAUUCAUACCAUGCUCUUGGGGCUUGCUUGAGCCCAUAAAGCGCCUUAGAGAGCUUAUAGACAUGGUUAGGGUACUUACUGUCUUCAAAGCCGGGAGGUUGCUCAACAUAGACCUCUUCCUUGAUCGGUCCAUUGAGGAAGGCACUUUUCACGUCCAUUUGAUAAAGCUUAAAGCCAUGGUAAGUAGCAUAGGCCAAUAAUAUGCGAAUUGAUUCAAGCCUAGCUACGGGUGCAUAGGUUUCACCGAAAUCCAAACCUUCGACUUGGGAGUAUCCCUUGGCCACAAGUCGAGCUUUGUUCCUUGUCACCACACCAUGCUCAUCUUGCUUGUUGCGGAAGACCCAUUUGGUUCCUACAACAUUUUGAUUAGGACGUGGAACUAAAUGACAUACCUCAUUCCUAGUGAAGUUGUUGAGCUCCUCUUGCAUCGCCACCACCCAAUCCGAAUCUUGAAGUGCUUCCUCUACCUUGUGUGGCUCAAUAGAGGAAACAAACGAGUAAUGUUCACAAAAAUGUGCAACACGAGAUCUAGUAGUUACCCCCUUAUGAAUAUCGCCGAGGAUGGUGUCCACGGGGUGAUCUCGUUGGAUUGCUUGGUGGACUCUUGGGUGUGGCGGCCUUGGUUCGUCAUCCUCCUUGUCUUGAUCAUUUGCAUCUCCCCCUUGAUCAAUGCCGUCAUCUUGAGGUGGCUCAUUUGCUUGAUCUUCUCCUUUAUCAACUUGAGCCUCAUCCUCAUUUUGAGUCGGUGGAGAUGCUUGCGUGGAGGAGGAUGGUUGAUCUUGUGCAUGUGGAGGCUCUUCGGAUUCCUUAGGACACACAUCCCUGAUGGACAUGUUCCUUAGCGCGAUGCACGGAGCCUCUUCAAUACCUAUCUCAUCAAGAUCAACUUGCUCUACUUGAGAGCCGUUAGUUUCAUCAAACACAACGUCACAAGAAACUUCAACAAGUCCAGAGGACUUGUUAAAGACUCUAUAUGCCCUUGUGUUUGAAUCAUAUCCUAGUAAAAAGCCUUCUACAGUCUUAGGAGCAAAUUUAGAUUUUCUACCUCUUUUAACAAGAAUAAAGCAUUUGCUACCAAAGACUCUAAAAUAUGAAAUGUUGGGCUUUUUACCGGUUAGGAGUUCGUAUGAUGUCUUCUUGAGGAUUCGAUGUAGAUAUAACCGGUUGAUGGCGUAGCAAGCGGUGUUGACCGCCUCGACCCAAAACCGAUCCGAAGUUUUGUACUCAUCAAGCAUGGUUCUUGCCAUGUCCAAUAGAGUUCGAUUCUUCCUCUCCACUACACCAUUUUGUUGUGGUGUGUAGGGAGAAGAGAACUCAUGCUUGAUGCCCUCCUCCUCAAGGAAGCCUUCAAUUUGAGAGUUCUUGAACUCCGUUCCGUUGUCGCUUCUUAUUUUCUUGAUCCUUAAACCGAACUCAUUUUGAGCUCGUCUCAAGAAUCCCUUUAAUGUCUCUUGGGUUUGAGAUUUUUCCUGUAAAAAGAAUACCCAAGUGAAGCGAGAAUAAUCAUCCACAAUAACUAGACAGUACUUACUCCCGCCGAUGCUUAUGUAAGCAAUCGGGCCGAAUAGAUCCAUGUGUAGGAGCUCCAGUGGCCUGUCAGUCGUCAUUAUGUUCUUAUGCGGAUGAUGAGCUCCAACUUGCUUUCCUGCUUGGCAUGCGCUACAAAUCCUGUCUUUCUCAAAUGAACAUUUGUUAAUCCUAAAAUGUGUUCUCCCUUUAGAAGCUUGUGAAGAUUCUUCAUCCCAACAUGUGCUAGUCGGCGGUGCCAGAGCCAGCCCAUGUUAGUCUUAGCAAUUAAACAAGUGUCGAGUUCAGCUCUAUCAAAAUCUACUAAGUAUAGCUGACCCUCUAACACUCCCUUAAAUGCUAUUGAAUCAUCACUUCUUCUAAAGACAGUGACACCAAUAUCAGUAAAAAGACAGUUGUAGCCCAUUUUGCAUAAUUGAGAAACGGAAAGCAAAUUGUAAUCUAAAGAAUCUACAAGAAAAACAUUAGAAAUGGAAUGGUCAGGUGAUAUAGCAAUUUUACCAAGACCUUUGACCAAACCUUGAUUUCCAUCCCCGAAUGUGAUAGCUCGUUGGGGAUCUUGGUUUUUCUCAUAGGAGGAGAACAUUUUCUUCUCCCCUGUCAUGUGGUUAGUGCACCCGCUAUCGAGUAUCCAACUUGAGCCCCCGGAUGCAUAAACCUACAAAACAGUUUUAGUUCUUGACUUUAGGUACCCAAAUGGUUUUGGGUCCUUUGGCAUUAGACACAAGAACUUUGGGUACCCAAACACAAGUCUUGGAUCCCUUGUGCUUGCCCCCAACAUAUUUGGCAACUACUUCGCCAGAUUUGUUAGUUAAAACAUAAGAUGCAUCAAAAGUUUUAAAUGAAAGACUAUGUUCAUUUGAUGCACUAGGAGUUUUCCUUUUAGGCAACUUAGCACGGGUUGGUUGCCUGGAGCUAGAUGUCUCACCCUUAUACAUAAAUGCAUGAUUAGGGCCAGAGUGAGACUUCCUAGAAUGAAUUCUCCUAAUUUUGUUCUCGGGAUAACCGGCAGGGUAUAAAAUGUAACCCUCGUUAUCCUGAGGCAUGGGAGCCUUGCCCUUUACAAAAUUAGACAAUCUUUUAGGAGGGGCAUUAAUUUUGACAUUGUCUCCCUUUUGGAAGCCGAUGCCAUCCUUAAUGCCAGGGCGUCUCCCACUAUAGAGCAUACUUCUAGCAAAUUUAAAUUUUUCAUUUUCUAAGUUAUGCUCGGCAAUUUUAGCAUCUAAUUUUGCUAUAUGAUCAUUUUGUUGCUUAAUUAAAAUCAUGUGAUCAUGUAUAGCAUCAAUGUUAACAUCUCUACAUCUAGUACAAAUAGAAGUGUGCUCAACGGUAGAUGUAGAGAGUUUGCAUGAAUUAAGUUCAACAAUCUUAGCAUGCAAUAUGUCAUUCUUAUCUCUAAGAUCGGAAAUUGUAACAUUGCAAAUAUCAAAAUCUUUAGCGUUAGCAAGCAAUUUUUCAUUUUCAAUCCUAAGGCUAGCAAGAGAAAUGUUCAAUUCUUCAAUCCUAGCAAGCAAAUCAACAUUAUUAUCUCUAGGAUUGGAAGAUGAAACAAUACAAACAUGAGAAUCAACCUUAGCUAAUAAAUUAGCAUUUUCAUUUCUAAGGUUGACAAUUAAAUCAUGGCAUGUGCUUAGCUCAUUAGAUAGUUUUUGACAUUUUUCUACUUCUAUAGCAUAAGCAUUCUUAACCUUAACAUGCUUCUUAUUUUCUUUAAUAAGGAAGUCCUCUUGAGAAUCCAAGAGAUCAUCCUUCUCAUGAAUAGCACUAAUCAAUUCAUUUAAUUUUUCUUUUUGUUGCAUGUUUAGGUUAGCAAAAAGAGUGCGCAAGUUAUCCUCCUCAUUUUUAGCAUCAUCCUCAUCACUAGAGGUUUCAUAUUUGGUGGAGGAUCUUGAUUUUACCUUCUUUUUGCCGUCCUUGGCCAUGAGGCACUUGUGGCCGACGUUGGGGAAGAGGAGUCCCUUGGUGACGGCGAUGUUGGCGGCGUCCUCGUCGUCGGAGGAGUCGCUCGAGCUUUCGUCGGAGUCCCACUCGCGACAAACAUGGGCAUCGCCGCCCUUCUUCUUGUAGUAUCUCUUCUUCUCCUUUCUUCUCCCCUUCUUGUCGUCGCCUCGGUCACUGUCACUAGAUAUAGGACAUUUAGCAAUAAAAUGACCGGGCUUACCACAUUUGUAGCAAACCUUCUUGGAACGGGAUUUGUAAUCCUUCCCCUUCCGUUGCUUGAGGAUUUGGCGGAAACUCUUGAUGACGAGCGCUAUUUCCUCAUUGUCGAGCUUGGAGGCGUCGAUUGGUGUUCUACUUGGCGUAGACUCCUCCUUCUUCUCUUCCGUCGCCUUGAAUGCGACGGGUUGAGCUUCGGACGUGGUGGGUUCGUCAAGCUCGUUGAUCUUCCUUGAGCCUUCGAUCAUGCACUCAAAACUUACAAAAUGCCCGAUUACUUCCUCGGGGGUCAUUAGUGUAUAUCUUGGGUUGCCACGAAUUAAUUGUACUUGAGUAGGGUUAAGGAAAAUAAGAGAUCUUAGAAUAACCUUAACCAUUUCGUGGUCAUCCCAUUUUUUGCUCCCGAGGUUGCGCACUUGGUUCACCAAGGUCUUGAGCCGGUUGUACAUGUGUUGUGGCUCCUCCCCUUUGCGAAGCCGGAAGCGACCGAGCUCCCCCUCGAUCGUUUCCCGCUUGGUGAUCUUUGUGAGCUCAUCUCCCUCGUGCGCGGUUUUGAGUACAUCCCAAACCUCCUUGGCGCUCUUCAACCCUUGUACUUUGUUAUACUCCUCUCUACUUAGAGAAGCGAGGAGUAUUGUUGUUGCUUGAGAGUUGAAGUGCUCGAUUUGGGCCACCUCGUCCUCAUCAUAGUCCUCAUCCCCUAUAGAUGGUACCUGUGCUCCAAACUCAACAACAUUCCAUAUACUUUUGUGGAGUGAGGUUAGAUGAAAUUUCAUUAAAUCACUCCACCUAGCAUAAUCUUCACCGUCAAAGGUUGACGGUUUUCCUAAUGGAACGGAAAGUAAUGGAGUAUGUCUAGAAAUGCGAGAGUAGUGUAAGGGGAUCUUACUAAACUUCUUGCGCUCGUGGCGCUUAGAAGUUACGGAGGGCGCGUCGGAGUCGGAGGUAGAUGGUGAUGAAGUAUCGGUCUCGUAGUAGACCACUUUCCUCAUCUUCUUUUGUUUGUCCCCACUCCGAUGCGGCUUGUGGGAAGAGGACUUCUCCUUCUUCUCUUUGUGGUGUGAAGAAGAUCUCUUCUCCUUCCCUUUGGAGGAGUCCUUCCUCUUCUCCCUUCUCUUGGUGCGGGACUCUUCCGAUGAAGUGCUCCCGUAGCUUGUAGUGGGCCUUUCGCCGGUCUCCAUCUCCUUCUUGGCGUGAUCUCCCGACAUCACUUCGAGCGGUUAGGCUCUAAUGAAGCACCGGGCUCUGAUACCAAUUGAUAGUCGCCUAGAGGGGGGGGGGUGAAUAGGGCGAAACUGAAAUUUACAAAUAUAAACACAACUACAAGCCGAGUUAGCGUUAGAAAUAAAAUCGAGUCCGCGAGAGAGGGCGCAAAAACAAAUCGCAAGCAAAUAAAGAGUGUGACACGCGGAUUUGUUUUACCGAGGUUCGGUUCUUGCAAACCUACUCCUCGUUGAGGAGGCCACAAAGGCCGGGUCUCUUUCAACCCUUCCCUCUCUCAAACGGUCCCUCGGACCGAGUGAGCUUCUCUUCUCAAAUCACUUGGGAAUCAAACUUCCCGCAAGGGUCACCACACUCUUGGUGCCUCUUGCCUCAAUUACAAGUGAGUGUUUGAUCACAAGAAAGAAUGCGAAAGAAAAGAAGCGAUCCAAGCGCAAGAGCUCAAAUGAACACUACAAAUCACUCUCUCUAGUCACUUAGGCUUUGUAUAGAGUUGGGAGAGGAUUUGAUCUCUUUUGGUGUGCUUUGCAAUGAAUGCUAGCUCUUGUAUAGUGGUUGGAAGCUGGAAAACUUGGAUGCUUUGAAUGUGGGGGUGGUUGGGGUAUUUAUAGCCCUAACCACCAAACUAGCCGUUUGGUGGGGCUGUCUGUUCGAUGGUGCACCGGACAGUCCGGUGCGCCAGCCACGUCACCAAAGCCGUUGGAUUCUGACCGUUGGAGCUUCUGACUUCUGGGCCCGCCUGGAUGUCCGGUGCACACCGGACAUGUACUGUUCAUUGUCCGGUGUGCCAGUAUGGGCGUUCCUGACAUCUGCGCGCCUCUGGCGCGCAUUGAAUGCGCCUGCAGGUAGCCGUUGGCGCCGAGAUAGCCGUUGCUCCAUGGUUCACCGGACAGUCCGGUGAAUUAUAGCGGAGCGGCCGAAGUGAAUUCCCGAGGCUGGCGAGUUCCGGAGGCGGCUCUUCCUUGGCGCACCGGACACUGUCCGGUGUACACCGGACAGUCCGGUGAAUUUUAGCGGAGUGCCUCUGGAAUUUCCCGAAGGUGGCGAGUUCGAGUUGAAGUCCUCUGGUGCACCGGACACUGUCCGGUGGUGCACCGGACACUGUCCGGUGUACGCGGGACAGUCCGGUGCCCCCAGACCAGAGGUGCCUUCGGUUGCCCUUUUGCUCCUUUGUUGAAUCCAAUACUUUAUCUUUUUAUUGGCUAAGUGUGAACCUUUAGCACCUGUAUAGCUUAUACACUAGAGCAAACUAGUUAGUCCAAUUAUUUGUGUUGGGCAAUUCAACCACCAAAAUUAUUUAGGAACUAGGUGUAAGCCUAAUUCCCUUUCAGGUUUUUAACGAGGCAACAAAGUGCAAAUGCAAUUUGUAUCACCAUGCACUCUUUCUCCAUAUUUUUCCCACUGGGUUUUUCGGAGUUUUAACGAGACAUGUGUUGGUCAUGGUAUUCGCCCAAGGGGGAGUGUUAAGUAACCCUUGUUAGGGUUAUGUGGGCAAAUACCUGCUUUGCCCCUGAGGGGUCUCACAUCUCUAUAUAAGGAACAUGUACACCCCUUCAUAUGAUAGAGAUAAGAAAGAGGCCAGAGACCCAACCCUAUAUCCAGUGUCUCGUGUGUUUCCUCUGUCGUGCUUAUGGGAAGGGAGACAUGUUCUCUACAUCUUCUUGCGUCUCUACUGUUGAUGGGAGGGAAGGGAGCGGAUCCGGUGAUCCGUGGUAACGUAGUUCUCAACAUAUAUGUGUGCAAAAGAGAGCGACCAUGGCUGGCCACUGGGGAUCUGCUCUCUGUGGCAGUAGAAAGUGACCUAUCCUCUCCUCAGCAUCUUCAAAUGGGGAAGAGAGCCCGCAAUCAUUGUGUGCCAAACUUUUAUUGCAGUCCAUGCUGCUCGGUGUCUUGUCUUCUGAGCAAGCUCACUAGCUGAGCUGAGCUCCGACGGCGCAGAAGAGAGAUGAUACCGGCCGGCAAACGACUUCAGCCCUCCAUGCUUUUUUCUCUAUCGGCAGGCGGCAGCUUUCCCAUUCCACUACAGUACGUCAUAGGUGAUCGUCCGCAUCUACUCAGCGGAGGAGCCGGUCCUCUUCCCACUCAUAGCUAUAGCACUUAUGACUUACGGACCCCUCGAACGUGAUAUAUUUAUGGCCCGUGCACCCCCAACCUAAGACGCACUUAUGAUCUACCGAGACUAUAUCUGAGUGCGCAAACCUCUGACAGGACACAACACGACAAACCACGCCGAGUGCUAGGCUAUGAAGGCCAGGGUCCGACACAGCCCGAAUGAAGGUGGUCAGGGAUUAACGUCAUUAUCCAGACCUCUCGCACGCCUGUCUCUUUGCGCCCAUAUUUGUAGCUCCAAUUAACAGCUUCCACGCUGCAUUGCUGAAUAGUCUGGUUGACGGAGUUAGCUUCUUGUCGGAACACCAGCGCAUUCCGUCGUUUCCAUAAAGGGCAUCUGAGAAUGACAUAUCCUCCAAAAAAUCACUGAACGUUUUUUUUAAGAUGACCAUUUUUUUAAAAAAAUCGAUUUAUGAAUAUAAUACAGACAUAUUAAGAGGACCACCUUCGUUGAUGAAGGACCGUCUUUGUUGAUUGAUGGUUUUUGAAAAUGAACACCUUAGAACGCUCGUCUGCGUAAAUAAUUUUCGAAGACGAACAUUGUUCUGAUGCUCCUGUGACCAAUAAUGGAGACGGUCAUUUGUCUCGGGUAAUGAUUUGGUCGGCCUGCUAAAAAUUACUUUCGCAGUUCACACAGAUCCCCCACCGCGGCCGUCUGCCCCGGGCCACUUCUUCCUCUGCUGCCUGCCCUGCGGCCCCUAUCAUUAUCGUCAUGGAGAGUCAGAACUCAGAAGCAAACAGCACAGCGCUUGCACUCUCCUAACUGCUACAGGGACACUGAACUGAUUUUGAAUCCCUGCUGCCCCUGCCGGCCCGGUUCGUGUUCUUUGUUAUUUCGUCUUUAGUUUGCUCCAUCCUUUUGCCGCUGCUUUCUUUCUUCUUCUUGCCCCCCUCUGAUAGAUUGCAUCGGCUGCUGCUUUGCCUGCUUUAUGGAAUCAGCAGGAUAUGAUCUAGGGUGUGAUAAGAGAAACAUUAAAUAAUGGUCCAAAGAGGGGAAACCCCAUCGAGAUCACAUCUCGUCCCGUCUAUCUCAUCAUCACCACACAUCUUAUCCAUGUUGACAACCAUGAAAUGGAAAAAAAAAGAAUGAAAUAAAAAAACAAAAGUACGUAGUAGUAGCCACUAAUGUAACAGUAACGCUGUCAGGUUCCAAGGACGACUUAUACAGAGGCAUGAUUGAAUAUUGCAGCAGCUAAUAAUUAAUGAUGCGAAAUUCCAUCACCUAAACAAACUCCUACAUGAAAUGACAAUGACAUAUAACUGAGCAGAUCAAUGGAGAGCAGUGCGUGGUAAGCUCGCACACCGUACCUCAGCAGUAGUAGCUAAUCACGCUCAUCACUCCCUCAUUGCUUCGCUUCCUUGCUCGUCCUCGCUCUGCAGCUGCAGCCGCUGGGCCGGCGGCGCGAGGAACCCCAUAAACCCGCUUCCGGCGCCGCCAACCAGAUGACCGAAGCCGACCUGCCCGGACAUCGUCGACGGCUGGUGCUGGUGGAUCGCGACGAGGGGGUCGAGCCAAGCGCGGGCAGACGACGACGGCCAGCCGCCGCCACUGGACUGAAGGGGUUCCCCUUGGGAGAAGAUCAGCUGGCCCUGCAGGUGGUCUAACCCUUGCCGUGGGCCGGGCACGCCGAACAUGUAACUGUCGCCAUUUCCGGCGGCCCCGCGCCCGUCGUCUCCCGCGCCGCUGUUCUCUGGAGCAUGCCACGGCGGCAUUCUCUGGCCGUGCGCCUCCGGCCAGCCUUGGACGCCUGCAACGGAGAUCAUACUACCGUGGUGGUUCGGGGACACAUGGCUGAAGAUCUGCUGCUGCUGCUGCUGCUGGUGGUGGUGGUUAUUGGUAGACUGGAGAGUGAGGCAAAGCUCCUGAGGCUGGUUGCUGCUGGUCGUGCGCGACAGAAGGUCCGGCGGGGAGCCCCUGUACUCGUCCUGGGUGGGGGUAGUGCUCGUUGUCGACGACGAGGGGAACAAAGACUUGACGUUGCCGGAGCCGGAGCCGGAGCCGGAGCCGGAGACGUCAUCGGCACCGACCGAAUGUGGCAUGAAGGAGCCGGCCACACCACCGAUGGCGAACCCGUAGGACGUCGAGGUCACCUGCUCGGCCGGCUCGGUAGUAGUGGCAUCCGCUGCCUCCGCGGCAGGCUGCCCCUCUUCCCGGUCGGCCGAAAGCUCGUCGAUGGCGGCCUUAGCGUUACGGAUGAGCCAGUCGACGGCUUUGCUGGGGCGGUCGUAGCCUAGCCGGUCCUGCACGUCGUAGAACCGGAUGGCCGUGUGCGCGGCGAGGCGGACACGGCGGUCGCGCAGCCCGCGCGCGGUGCACACCUUGCUGUGGCGGUCCUUGCGCCCGGCGGCAGACCGCACGAUGCGGCCGCUCCCGAAUGCGGUCGCCAGGGCGUCCACGGGCGUCGACUCGCCGCUGCUGACGCCAUCACUGCCAGCUCCUGCAGCCCUCGGCUGCUGCUGCUGCUGCUGCUGCCUCCGGCGGUGCUGGAGGUAGCUGAAUCCUUGCUGGUGGUAGAUCUGGAGCUGCUCAUGCGCCUGCGCUCUCUCCUUCUCCUGGAGCAGGUAGUGCAGGGUGCUGGUGGCGGCGGUAGGGUUGCUCCAAGGGUCCAAGCCCUUGGACAACUGGUUCUUGUCCUCCUCCAGCUUGAGCGUACUCACUUCCGCACUCCCUACAGCCGGAAAGAAUGAAGAAAGAACAAGCUACUAGCCAGGAAUCAAAAGAGAAAAAACUAAACUAUUCAAUCACCUAGUUAAUUGGAGAGACCGAACUGUUUCGACCGCAUGCGAUUCGCUAGCUCCCCCGUACUCCAAAGCUCUCACUCGGCUGCCCAUGUCGAGGAAAAAGAUUUAAUGGCCAUAUAUGGUGGGAAGGGAAGGGAGUUGGGAAACCAACCCCACACCGUCCACAAGCACAAGGACUCCGUCCGCAGGAGGCAGGGGCAGGCAGAUAGAACCACACCAAGCUGCUCCUGCGCGCGCUGGUGGCCUGGGUGCAUGCAGCUGGCCGGCCUCUCUUUAGUGAAAGAGACAAGCAAAAGAGGGCGGCAGUGCAGAUCUUAUCUUGGCAAUCUCUCUGCGUGCAGCUAGGUAAUCUUACACUGGCCGGGGGAGGAGGAGGGAGGAAAAGAAGAUCUCGGAGCAACAAAAAAAAAAGAGAAGAAAGAAAAAGAUUAGGACCUCUCUACCAAAAGGUGAGAUAAUUAUUAUUCUACACUUCUACUAGUACUCCUUCGAUCUUACACCUUGACAAGGACAUGAGCUACUACUCCUAGUACCAUAUAUGAGCUGAGGAGAAGAUCAUGUGUCCCUUCAGUUUUCUGGUCCUUUUGGUUUUAAUUUUUUUGUGUGGGUGAAGUGUAGAGAGAGAGAGGCGGCCGGCUAUAGCCUGCUGUAGAUAGAUUGAUAGGAUGAUGCAGGGUCGCAGGGAGAGGGGAUGACGAAGAGAGCCAGAGAGGGUUGGCGCAGGCUCAGAGACAGGAGUCGUCAGGGUGUAGGGCAGUCGGCAGAAACUAAAAUUUGGUCACCUGAUUUCAGUUCAUUACUAGGUGAAUGCCCGUGCGUUGCAACGGAAAUAUAUGAUACUAUUAUAACUUAUGUACAAAUGAGUGUUAUAGUGUUAUAGGUGAGUGUCCGUGCAUUACAACGGAAACAUAUAAUACCACGAUAACUUAACUACAAAUAUGUGUUAUCCUGUUAUGAGAAAAUGUUUUGUAAUCCAUUUGCCAUCCUAGCCAUACAUAAAGUGUGCUCGGGGACCUUCUUGACCUUGUUCACUGAAGUUUCAUGUUGAUACGAUUAAAACUUGCUAAAAGAUUUAAUUAGAAAAAUACAAUGUUCACCACUUCUUUCUGGACAUGUGAUCCGUGAGGAUCCUCUGAUUGUCAUAGUUCCACAUGAUGCUAAGCAGUGUCUAGAAACAUGCGACGUGCUUUGUGCGCCGUGCUAAAUUUCAAUACUCUUCAACACUUCUCUCAGCUUCUCAAAGAUUACAAGGAAGUUCUAUAAUUGAUGCCUCUAUAGAAGAUAUCUCUUGGAGAUGUAUGAUAUGCACAUACAAAUUGCAAUACUAAAACACUACUACUUUGCUUACUGCGUUAUAUAAGUGAAAACAUGUCCCUCCUUUCCAAGUCCAUGUUUUAGAUGGUCAACCAUCUCAUCAGGUUUCAAGGGGUGCAUAUCCUGCAUUGCAAGCACAUAAGCCAUAAAAAAUAUCCAUGUUCCAAAGGAAAAAUAUGUAUGGCAAGCUGCUUGCGAGAGCCAUAGACAGGUGCAAUCAAAUGUUCGCCUAGCAAUCAAGUAAGCCAUAUUGAUAAUACAAUUUUUAUCUUCUGGUCUGGUCCAUUCCACUAUAACAUACAUUUGUAGUUGAUGAUAGUGAACGAUGCCAAAAAAAAUAACAAUGGCUUAAUAGUAGCUAAGAUAAAAAAUGAUAGUAGCCCACUUCAAAUAAUGUGAUGUUGCACUAUACAGCUCCGAACCAGUAGAUUCAAUUAGCAAUUCCAAUUUCUUCUCGGAGAGAUGGCUCCUCAGCCCACCCAUGAAGCUGUUGUAAGCGAGCUGGUUGAGGCAGUCGGCCACGAACGAGUGGCUGCUGCAGGUGAAGAGGUUGUAGCACUUGUGCUAGAAGCGCCCCCCCUCCCGACCGUAGUGUGUCGUCCCACAAGAUCAUCGCCCUAGCCUCCGAGUGCUCGUGAGACCUCAAGCACAGUUAGUAGGGGAGCAGCACUGGGUUGUCACAAGCCACACGGAAAAAGACAAUUUAUUAGUUGUUCAAGCUCAGAAAUUCUGAAGAGAAGUGCUCCUACAGACAAAAGAAUAGAACAUGGGCAUUUAUUAAUAUUUUAAUUGAUUGUAGACAUACCCUGCUUGAAAAAAAUACCAUAUCUCUAGCCUAUCAUAAAAACUAACAAUAAAAUGAACAAAUCUCUUAAUUGCUCUGUAAAACACUUAAUGUCAAUUAGCUAAUAUGUAAGCUGACCAGCCAUUCAUUUUGAUUUAACUAUACAAUUCAACCAAUUAAUGUGAAAAUUAAAAUGAAAAUGGUAUGUACCGUUGAUUCUUUAUUAUUGUGCUUGGCAAGAUAAAGACCCAAAGCUCUUUCUCCGUAAAGAAUCUUAGCUCCAAUUCCAUGCCUAUUUACAGAUCCAACAGACUCCUUGUCAACAACCACAAGUCCACAACAUCUAUUUUAUCUUUUCCAUUUCGUGUCUUUGGAAUAUAUUAGGCUAUUGCUUCUUUCUAUCCUCAGCAGCAUGUCCUUUAUUUUGAUCUUACACUUGGUAGGGCUCCCCGUCUCCUGCGAGUGUGAGUACUUCACCUGUGACGCAACAUCAAAAUAUCAGUCAGAAAGCGAAGCUAAGCACGGCAGUAGACGGAGGAGGAGGAGAUAGGUGGGAUGAACAAGACAACCCUGCAAAAAUCCUAACUGCAAGUAACUGGACAAAAAUGUACAAUAGUUGAUGCACUCAUAAAAAAGUCUUAAUUGUCAAAUAGAAUAGUUGUACUACCAUGUACUUAGAAUAAAUCCAUCCCUGAUAAGCAUGAGAAGGAUAUCCCGGCAACUAUAGCUUGAUUUCUAUGAGACAAUAUUGAUUUUUUUCCUCUUGUUUGCGUUUAAGAAUAACAAAGCCCCUCUUCAAAGCUUUUUAUGAAAGGAAUCCAUUAACAAAAAAACAUACAAAAAUAUGAAAAAUACCAAGACAUUGUCUAAUGGAAGCGAAAUAUAUCUCUUGGUGGCUCAAAGUAGCAAUACCAUGGUUUUUCAUCAGUAAGUAGUGGUAAAGUAUCACAAACACACAUUCACAAACUCUAUGAACUACUAAUUGCUACUUCCUCGCCAGCGACCAUAGCAGUCCAAACACUUAAUCACACGGAGUCCCUCAGGACACAGGUCAAAGAUGAAGAGGAACGACCAAUUUUACCUCUCCUUUGGGAGAAUAGAGGCAGAUCGCCCCAUCUCUGGAUCAGGAACUCGUACUGGUUCUGGAUGACAUCCUCCUAUAUUUCUGUUGAAUUAGCUUUUUUCCCUAUUAUAGUUUCUAUUCAACAUCCCCAAUUUGAUAGCACUGAAUUUGGCACAAGAGAUGAAUCACCCCCCGCAAAGUCGAUGCUCGCUGGCUGAAAUUGAGGGAAGGAAGUUGUGGUUGUUUCAGCUAUUCAGGAUCCCACGAGACCCUUGUGUCUCGCAUACGCAACAAUGGAGACAAACACAAAGGCAAAAAAAGCCCUCAUACAAGAAUAGUCAAUUAAAUUUGGAUAGUCAAUUAAAUUUGGGGUCUGGUUUUACACGUCAUUGACAGACAGGUGGUAUAAAUGAAAAGUGCACCUCAAAUGCUGGUACACAUGAAAAUAUACCUAUAAUAAACUGGUUAUAUUUUUUUUACAACGAGGAAUGGGGUUUAGACAUACAAUACCAUAGGAUUGGUCGUUGAUGGACACCUGCAUGGACUGGCUAGCAUAGUAGAUGGUCAACUGUGGUCACUGCCCAGACUUAGAAUCGCUCAUUCGAGUUGAUGAUCAUGCUGCAUUGAAACAUUUAGCAGUGGGGUUUAGACAUACAAUAAUCAUCGUCAUCAUCCAAUAAUUGUUCACUUCCCUAUUAUAGUUUUUUUGAUGGGUAGCAGUGGGGUUUAGACAUACAAUACCAUAGGAUUGGUCGUUGACGGACACCUGCAUGAACUGGCUAGGAGAGUAGAUGGUCAACUACGGUCACUGUCCAGACUUAGAAUCGCUCAUUCGAGUUGAUGGUCAUGCUGCAUUGAAACAUUUAGAGGUCAGCACGCAGAGACUAUCUAAUUGCCUGGCUCAUCAGAGACAGAGAAAAGAUCAUUCCAACAAUGUAAGGUCCUAGCAAGUAGGAAAAAAAUCCACCCAGAAUCAACCUGAAAAGUGCCUUUUGAAUCUAAUUAUCCACUUGCCACCAUUCUGAUUUGCAGGAUCCUGGCCAAUUGAAAACCGUUAGCAAUAGGAACAGACAUACUACACAUAGACAGAGAGAUGAUAGAGAAUACAGACUCUAAAUAUGCAUCAGGGUAACUGCCACCAAAGAGGCUACAGAGAUUUUAUUCACUGCAUAUGGAGGCUGCAAAGAUUCUUGGUGGACCAACACAUGGAGCCAAGGUGUAUUCUCCAGCCAAGGAAAACAAGCACAUUUGGAAGUCCAAAAUCCAUCUUAAGGUCAAGAUUUUCAUGUGGCUAACUUUACAUAAUGCUAUUUUGACCAAAAAACAACUUGAUGAAAAGGGAGUCCUUGUGGAGCAUUUUUCAUAACUAUUCUGUAAUUCCUUUUUUGGUAACUGGGUGCAUUUGAAAAGAAAGGGUAAUAGUACUGGAUGAGCUAAAAUCUAACAUACUUAUUAAUAUUUGUAUACAGACAUUCUAACUUUGGUAUGUUAAGUUAAUAAUUGUAGAAUGUUAAAAUUUAGUAUCCCUCGUUUUUAUUUGCACACGAUUUCAUAGUCUUAACAAUUGUGGUUUAUCUAAGGCAAAAUAUUGCUUUUCUAUUGUGUGGGUUUUUAUCUUAUUGACAGCCACUGUUGUUCUGUGCCUCCUUGAUGGAUUUGAUUGAUAUUAUUUAGUAUUAUGUGUCACAGUUUAGCAUGCAAGUUGUGGUGUCUACUUGAAUUAGCAAUGUAGUUAACUUUUGGAAAACAUUACAAUAUGAACACAAUAGUAUUAAGUAUUAAAAGGAAAAAUGGAAGCAUGAAGGCACUAACCAAAUCUUUUGUUGAACAAUAUAGAGCUGCAAAGAUGAGUGUAGGAAUUGAGGCGAACACGACUCUGAAUUUCCCUGGGUAGUCAAAAUGAGACAUGAAUACAUGAUUAGUAUAGAAAACAUAAGUAUUCACAUUCUAAAUUUUCAUAGCAAUGCCAAACUAAGAUGACACAACUGCUAUACAAAGAUGACACUUUAUUUAUUUGACUAUAUUACAUUUAAAAAGUACUCCUAUAUCAGAGCUACAUUAAGACGCGCAUAACUAAAAUCCGCCUACAAGCUAUGUUAUCAACACAAAGCCAAGUUUAUAUUAUAUGCAGAAUAAUCUAAAUGGCAAGGAUGAAUUAGCAGAAUUAUUUAGGAAAAAAGUGGUUGGUCAUAUAUAACAUCACAAGGCCACCCAAACCACAGGGUCACUUUUGGGUCAAACAAUUAGCAAAGACCGAAGAGAGUGGGAGUCAUAUCAUGAAACAAAGAAAAAUGGUGAAAUGGUUUGGUGCAAAAUAUAAGUAUCAUAGGACUGAAACAUACUGCAUUAGCUUUAAAUUUCUACCAUGAUAUACCAUUUGGAGUACACUUGAACAUAGCAAAUCCAAUAAUAUAAUCAUGGGGCUACUGGUAACUGCUGAAAUUAGGAAUAAUCACAAUGGGAGGUUAUACGCCAAACACACAAAAAAAUCCAUUCAGGAGCACACAGAGUUAAGUGUGAGACAGAUACACAAACCUCUGGACCACCGCCAAUAUCCAUUUUCCCAACUUUGCUCCCACAUGGCAUCACACGCUUGACACUAAAAAACAGGAAGAUUAUAAACAUCAAACAAUUCUUACUAAUAAAUAUAUAACAUUGACCCUGAAAAAUAGGAAAUAUAUAACAUUAGGAGAAAAACUUACUCAUUUGAGUUGGAGUCAAAGCAACGAUCAGCUGAUAAAAAGUACCUUUGAUCCUAAGUAGAUUCUCGUACACAAUGUGAAUCACCGAUAGAUGCUACAGUCACAACCCACUUGUCUAUUAUCACAAAUGUCAAAGUUGUACCAGAAGUUUCAGCUGAAACAGUGAAGAAAACGUCUCAGAAAUAUUGAAACAUGAAAAGGUAGUUAACAAAGGAAACUCUGACUAUAAACAAAGCUCUCAUAUGUUCUGCUCCCACAGGUAAACGUGUGUCUGCCUAAGAAAUAUAUGCAUGUUUAAAGACGAAGUAAUUCUAUGAAACAUGUCGUCGAAAUUGUCAAACAUACUUACCCAUAGCCUAGAAAUCUUUAUCGGUCUUGACGAACGCUGCAACAAGCGCACGUGGGAGCACGACAAGCCACUCCACCCUGCAGAAACAUGUUGGAAUGGCACGCAAGACAUUGUUCAACAUAUUCUCCCUUGCGUAUAUGGCAGCUAUAAAUCAACAAAGCACAAUGGGAACUGUAAGAUGGCUAUCAGAAGAAAAACGAAUCAGCCAUCAACGGUAUACCAUCAUCAAGCUACCGCCAAAACACAGCAUGAGAUGAAAUUUGAUAUGUUUUUUUCAUAACGCCAUAUAGUUAAGAUGUGAUGCUUAGGAUCAAAGGUAAAAAUUGUUUUUUCAGUCGUCAUGCUCCACCAUGCAUGCACUGGCCUAUCGCAUACAAAACAACGCAACAACUAUUUCUAUUCUCUUAAGAACAAAGAGGCGAAAAGCCGAACAAGAUCUAUACUACCUACAAUCUGCUGGACAAAGGGCAAUGUGGUUACCGUGAAGACGGAGAAGGAGGUGGAUGGGUCCCCGGGAAUGUGUUGGCAUGCGUCGACGAGGAGCAGCUCACUGUAAGGUCAAGGCAUUGUAAUGAGAUUAUCCCUAUUGAACGAGCAUCCAAGCAUGUGCAAAAUGAAUUUUAUGAUAUACACUGUGAAACUAAAAAGUAAAAUGCAAGUGUAUGAAAACAAAACGUAUAAUCAACAAGAACAAAGGACCUGAACUCAUACAGCCUGUACACUACAACAUCCAGCGCUUACAUAGUUCCGAUCUAAUAGUUGAGCAAUCACUACCCACUAUGAGGAGGAGCUCUGAAUGAGCCAUGUGAGCAUUUGCUCGAAUAGGUGGUGAGCAAGAGGCGAAACACACCAGAUUGGCGAGCGCAAGGUGGACGAGGUGUAGCUGUAGUAUUCAAAAUUCAAGAAAAAUAAUUAACACGAAUAAAGAACAAGUGCAGUAAUCUUGUAUUUAAUUAUAUGCACACUUGAAUUACUAUAGUACAAUACCCGUGCAUUGGGACGGCAUACAAUUUAUUUGAUAAGGGACUCAGUUCAUAGCAACGACAUACAAUUUAUUUGAUGAGUGACUCAGGCAAUAGGGAUUCACAAACAGGAACAGACGGUGUAGAGUUCGCAUAAAGACUUAAUACUCUGAUUUUCGAACACUUUUAAGAGCUAUCCGUCAUAAUAUCAUUUGGGGCAGCAGCUGCACCCACCAUUAUGUUACAUGGAGAACCAAGUAAAGAAUAUAAGAGCUUACCAGGUAAGUAGUAGGAAAAGCAACACAAAUUAAACGCAACCACAAAAUCUUAGCUUGUUUCUUCAUUAUAAGAAAACUAAGUCAUUCCAUUAUGUUAGAUUGUUGGAUCAGAAACAAGCAUCUAAAUUUGGUAUACCGACAGGCGACAGCCCCUUAGCGCAUAGUGGGUUGAGGCAUUGCAUCAAACGCUUCAAGGGCAAACAAGCAUAAUGGAAAGCCAGACAGCACCGGAACGAUCAGGACACGAGGAUCUUACCAGAGACUACGACGCAGCGGCAGCGGCACCCUCCUCGGCGACGGCUGCCGGCUUCACUCGGUUUCCAGCGGCAUCGGGCACCCUAGAAUUUCGAGGAGCUGGCUCCCUAGAAAAUGUGACAGAUGUACGCUGCAAAAAAUGGAACAACAAAAGGAGAGAAUGCCAGGCUGAAAUGCAACAUUAUGACAGUCAUGUAUGUUGUACCAUAAAGCGUUCCACUGGAAAUGCCUUCUUGGCAGGGCAGAUUUAUUCUGAUUAUAUGUUUACUGGAAUUUUGACAAGAUCUUCUCAGGCGAGACAUCAGCUACGGCUACCUGAAUACUUGUUGUAUGUUGCAUGGGAGGACUCUGAACAUCAUGAACUCAUGGAGGAAGCUCGGACUACCUGCUACGGGGAAUGUUUUGGAAUGCUCCGUCUGUCGGGAUCGCGCCACAAAGGUCGUUGUUGGAGAAAUCUCUGCAGAAGCACAAAAGAAGAAGAAUGUUAAGACAUGGCUGAACUGGGUUCGCCGCAACUGCUACAGUCACCGUAGAGAGCAAAAUGCAGCUGCACAGCUCAUGUAGAUAGUACUCACACAAUUCCAAGAUUGGGCAGCCCGGCAAGCUCCCUUGGGAUCGGCCCCUUCAGGCGAUUGUGAUCCAAACGCCUGCCGACAGAGUUGAAGAAACGUUCACGCAAGAACAGAACCAAUGGCAACUGACGAAACUAACCAUUGUAUUCCCGGACUCACAGGAACUUCAAGGACUUGGCGUUCCCGAGGGCUGCGGGUAUAGCUCCUGAGAUGCUGUUUUGGACAGGUCCAAGCUGAUCAGGUUCGCCAGGCUACCGAACUCUGAUGGGAUUGGUCCACUGAUGCUGUUCCCGAAAAUUUCACUAUUAUUCAGAAUUUCAGGGGUUAGUGAUACUGAUAUCUCGUUCACUGACAUGUACAGUACAGUGGAUAGGAAAAAUUUUCAGGCCCGAAGCACAGCAGAAGGAUCAGAAGAGCAAACAUGUAUUGCAGCUGAUCCAGUUGUCCCAGCUCGGGUGCCAGAGGACUCAACUGGUUCAGUCUCCCGAGAUCCCUGUCGACAAAGAUGCAGUUUAGAGCAAACAAAUCGAGUAGUAGUAGUUUUGCAAAAUGCUUGUAUACAGCAGAUACAAUCAUAACAGAAGAAAGGAAUGCAAUUCUAAUUAUGAUGUUUUCUUCAAAUUAAGAUCUCAAACAAAUACAAUCCUAACUACUCUGUAAAUUUUGAAUAUCAGUAAAUUCAAAAUGUAUACGUAUGCGGUUGCAAAAAAUAACACCAACUGAAUUAUGUAGAAAGUGUUUUUUUAAAGAUAGCGUUGAUUUUAUAACCGUUGAUAUGGUAAUGUUAUAAAUCUAUGCUCAAAAUCUUCUGUGAAGCAUUUCCUCCUUCGCCAUCACCUAAAAGUAAGAAUAGAAACAAAGUAGAGAGUUUUCACUAAGUAGAACCAAGGUACACCCUGUUGGAAAUAAUCAUGUCCAGGUGCAUGUUAGUGUCUAGGUUCCUAAUAUUUACUUUAGCUAAAUUUCAGCAUGGAGUAAUAGGUAGUAAUAGGCUGAUUAGUUGGGUAAUAUUCUGCAUUUAUUAGGGGUCAUCACAGCCUGAUUUGUAGCUCACAUUAGCUAUAUUUAUUAAUAGAAGAGAAAACCAGAAAAUGUUAAGUCAUCCUAGCCACCAAAACACUUGUGCUCUUGUGUGAUACUCUGUUCCUGUGUCCUGUUGGAGGCUUUAGGCCUGUCACACCUUAAAUAUUAAGCCUUAUGAUGCUUUCUUUAUCUUUGAUCUCCCUUAAGGAGCUCUUCGAUAGAGCCUCUGUACUUUGUAAUCAACUCCUUGACAGAAAGAUGUACAUUGGUAAGUUAAACGUACUUAAAAGGCAGAGUAAAUCUCGUGACUUGUACAAAUCCCCAAACUGAAGCAGUCAUGCUGGCCCUUUACUGUUGAAGGGUUGGUCAUCAAUCACUUCUGGUUGGACCAACUUAGGUUGGGAUUUCUAAAGGUGUCUUUCGAAAACCAUGGCCAUACAUCCUGGGUUAUAUGGGGCACAAGCUACGAAACAAUCUUUUUCCCUUUUGCUGUUAAGACAACACACACGUAGUUUUCUAAAAUAUAUAGGCAGACAACGGAACUUACUUUCUUUGAUCAAGCAGCUGCCGUGUUUCAUCCAAACUCUGCCUUUGUCCCUCAACCGUCUGUUGGUAACAAAUACAGCGAUUACGAUGAGUACUGAAACUUCAAGCAUCAAUAACUGGUUCUUACAUUUCCAAGAGUGGACAUCGCCAGGUGGGUGUUUUCGUUUACCUAUCCCACCCAGAUCUGGCAGGAGUAGCGAGGUUUGGGAGGAGGACAUACCGGGAUCGAGGCGUAGACGUGGCGCUCCGGCGGUGACCAGGGCACCAAGGGCGGGGGCAGACGAAGGCGCAACAACCGGAUGCGGAGGAAGAACGGAGACACGAGAGAGAUGGACAAAUGAGUGCGCGACGAUGCGGAUGAGGCGGGGAUGCUGCUCAGCCAGAUCGAGAACCCCGUCCGGCCGUGCCUAUCGUGGGUGGAUCUUGCCUUCCUCGGAUUCGAUUCCGUCGUCGGCUCGUCGUCGUCUUUGUGCUCACCGGCCAAGAUGCGCGUUUCGACGCCGGCCCAACCAUCCCGCCGGCCUACGCCGCCGUGGGCUUCUCAGCGUUGAUGAGCAUAGGAGGCAGGGGAGGCGAUUACGGCGGGUCUGGUGAGGCGUGGGGACGGAGGACUCCGAUGCCUUAGGGAGGUCAUGGCGAGGGGGAGGGUGUGCCCUGCGGCGGAGGUGGAGGCGAUGGGAAGCCAUGGUGGCGCGGUCGUGCGGGGGAAGGUUAGGGAUCGGGUGCGGUCGUGCGGUGGAGGGGGAUGGAGCGUGGGAGACGCAGACGCACGAUAAGACGCACGAUAGGAUACGGACGGUCCAGAUCGAUGGAUGGCAGAACGGCAGAACGGCAGAACGAGAGGAGGCAGACUACCUUUACUGUCUUAAUAGGUAGUAGAGAUU